This 105-nucleotide signal recognition particle RNA is filed under the name Thiomonas intermedia K12. RNAcentral's name for it is "SRP RNA; RNA component of signal recognition particle". It matches the Rfam family "Bacterial small signal recognition particle RNA". Rfam says of the family: The signal recognition particle (SRP) is a universally conserved ribonucleoprotein involved in the co-translational targeting of proteins to membranes. Lineage: Bacteria; Pseudomonadati; Pseudomonadota; Betaproteobacteria; Burkholderiales. The record is from RNAcentral.
GACGGGCCGCCUCGCAUCGCGGCGCGGUGAACUUGGUCAGGUCGGGAACGGAGCAGCCACAGCCGUUUACCGUGAGUGCCGGGGGAACGGCUCGUCACCCCAACA